UUAAACAAAGAGUUGAGGGCAUGGUUAAAGUAAAUGGUAACAAGACCAAAUACUAAGGAAAAAUGGGAUCGGACUUUAUUAACACCCUGUAUUUACAAAUUAUAUCACUUUUUGUAGAGAAGAUUAGUUUAAUAAUUAUUUAAGUUUCCGAAUCAAAUAAGAACAUUGCUGUGUAAAUUUUCUAUAUUUAGGCAAUCUCCUUAUUAUGCAAUUUUUGGUAAAGUUAGCGUAAUUUUGCAAGUUAUUCUUGUUGCACCCAAAUGAGCCAUAAGGAGUACAUUUGUUAUAUAUAAAUAAGCUAAACAAUAGUUUGCGAUGUACAAGGAGACUACCUAAAUUCACUUUAACAUACAUAUUUACAUAAUAUUUACAGUAUGCACUAAUUACCAUAAACCUUUUAUGUAAAUUGCGGGUUCUGCCCUGGUGCUACAUUUAUACAUGUUUACUAUGUUUAACUAAAUCGGAACCAUUUUUGGAUAAGAACGAUUUAUUAUUAGUUUGUUGUGUAUUUAUUUAGAUUACCCACAUGCGUUUAAUUGGACCUUGUAUGUACAUAUGUAAAUACUUGUUGUCUCAUAAAAUACUUAUAAAUUUCCUGAAUAAAAGAUAAACAAUAAUGAAUCACAA
Long non-coding RNA from Folsomia candida, 627 nucleotides. RefSeq lists it as uncharacterized. The transcript is spliced from 2 exons. Lineage: Eukaryota; Metazoa; Arthropoda; Collembola; Entomobryomorpha; Isotomidae. The record is from RefSeq and is a predicted model, not a curated record.